UACGUAGGGCGCGAGCGUUGUCCGGAAUUAUUGGGCGUAAAGAGCUCGUAGGCGGCUUGUCACGUCGGGUGUGAAAGCCCUCGGCUCAACCGAGGAAGUGCGCCCGAAACUGCAGAGCUUGAGUACCGGAGAGGAUGGCGGAAUUCCCCAAGUAGAGGUGAAAUUCGUAGAUAUGGGGAGGAACACCGGUGGCGAAGGCGGCCAUCUGGACGGAUACUGACGCUGAGGAGCGAAAGCGUGGGGAGCAAACAGG
RNAcentral lists this ribosomal RNA (253 nucleotides) under uncultured bacterium. Its description in RNAcentral is "partial 16S ribosomal RNA". It matches the Rfam family "Bacterial small subunit ribosomal RNA", at positions 524 to 776 of the family's 1533-position model. The record is from RNAcentral.